Molecule: unclassified non-coding RNA, 618 nt
Filed under: Mucor multiplex
Lineage: Eukaryota; Fungi; Mucoromycota; Mucoromycetes; Mucorales; Mucoraceae
Description: sequence contains 18S rRNA gene, ITS1, 5.8S rRNA gene, ITS2, 28S rRNA gene
Rfam family: 5.8S ribosomal RNA (bases 254-406)
Source: RNAcentral
GAUCAUUAAAUAAAUUUUAAAAAUUUAGAUUGCGUAUUGCGUAUCUAUUUUUUUUUUUUUUUUUUUACUGUGAACUGUUUUUUAAUUUCAUAGUGCUUGAGGGAUGACUAGUAGUCCAUAAUGGACAGGGCUACUAGGAUGUUAACCGAGCUAUGGUCAGGCUUAGGCCUGGUGUCCCUAAAACUUAUUAUUUACCAAAAAAAGAAUUCAGUAUAAAAAUAUUGUAACAUAAGCCUAAAAAACUUAUAAAAACAACUUUUAACAACGGAUCUCUUGGUUCUCGCAUCGAUGAAGAACGUAGCAAAGUGCGAUAACUAGUGUGAAUUGCAUAUUCAGUGAAUCAUCGAGUCUUUGAACGCAUCUUGCACUCACUGGUAUUCCAGUGAGUACGCCUGUUUCAGUAUCAAAAACACCCCACACUCAAAAUCUCCUUUCUUGGAGAAAAAGAGUGGAACUGAGAGUUCACGGCUUCUUUCAAGCUGUACUCUUUAAAUAAAUUAAGGCCUGAAAAUUAUAAAAUUGUCUUUUUGCCUGAACAUUUUUUUUAAUAUAAAGGAAAUGCUCUUGUACUAUAAUUCAAUAUUUUUAUGGGGGCCUCCCAAAUUAAAAUCAUCUUCU